GGCUCAGAGUGAACGCUGGCGGCAGGCCUAACACAUGCAAGUCGAACGGCAGCACAGGGAGCUUGCUCCUGGGUGGCGAGUGGCGGACGGGUGAGGAAUACAUCGGAAUCUGCCCUGUCGUGGGGGAUAACGUAGGGAAACUUACGCUAAUACCGCAUACGACCUUCGGGUGAAAGAGGGGGAUCGCAAGACCUCUCGCGAUUGGAUGAGCCGAUGUCGGAUUAGCUUGUUGGCGGGGUAAUGGCCCACCAAGGCGACGAUCCGUAGCUGGUCUGAGAGGAUGAUCAGCCACACUGGAACUGAGACACGGUCCAGACUCCUACGGGAGGCAGCAGUGGGGAAUAUUGGACAAUGGGCGCAAGCCUGAUCCAGCCAUGCCGCGUGAGUGAAGAAGGCCCUCGGGUUGUAAAGCUCUUUUGUCCGGAAAGAAAAGUUCCCGGUUAAUACCCGGGGAUCAUGACGGUACCGGAAGAAUAAGCACCGGCUAACUUCGUG
This 495-nucleotide ribosomal RNA is filed under the name uncultured bacterium. RNAcentral describes it as "bacterial SSU rRNA". It matches the Rfam family "Bacterial small subunit ribosomal RNA", at positions 21 to 507 of the family's 1533-position model. The record is from RNAcentral.